CCUGCGGGAGGCAGCAGUGAGGAAUAUUGGUCAAUGGACGAGAGUCUGAACCAGCCAAGUCGCGUGAGGGAAGACGGUCCUAUGGAUUGUAAACCUCUUUUGUCGGGGAGCAAAAGACGCCACGCGUGGCGUUCCGAGAGUACCCGAAGAAAAAGCAUCGGCUAACUCCGUGCCAGCAGCCGCGGUAAUACGGAGGAUGCGAGCGUUAUCCGGAUUUAUUGGGUUUAAAGGGUGCGCAGGCGGAAGAUCAAGUCAGCGGUAAAAUUGAGAGGCUCAACCUCUUCGAGCCGUUGAAACUGGUGUUCUUGAGUGAGUGAGAAGUAUGCGGAAUGCGUGGUGUAGCGGUGAAAUGCAUAGAUAUCACGCAGAACUCCGAUUGCGAAGGCAGCAUACCGGCGCUCAACUGACGCUCAUGCACGAAAGUGUGGGUAUCGAACAGGAUUAGAUACCCGAGUAGUC
This 459-nucleotide ribosomal RNA is filed under the name uncultured bacterium. RNAcentral's name for it is "partial 16S ribosomal RNA". It matches the Rfam family "Bacterial small subunit ribosomal RNA", at positions 338 to 795 of the family's 1533-position model. The record is from RNAcentral.